ACUCAAAGGAAUUGACGGGGACCCGCACAAGCAGCGGAGCGUGUGGUUUAAUUCGAUGCAACGCGAAGAACCUUACCAGGGUUUGACAUGCCAUUGCACCACCCUCAAUCGGGUGUCCCGCUUUGCGGGCGAUGGCACAGGUGCUGCAUGGCUGUCGUCAGCUCGUGUCGUGAGAUGUUGGGUUCAGUCCCGCAACGAGCGCAACCCUUGCCGCUAGUUAAGCUCUCUAGCGGGACCGCCGCGAUCAACGCGGAGGAAGGCGGGGAUGACGUCAAGUCAGCACGGCCCUUACGUCCUGGGCUACACACACGCUACAAUGGUCGCUACAACGGGCAGCCAACCCGCGAGGGGGAGCCAAUCCCAGCAAAAGCGGCCUCAGUUCAGAUUGCAGGCUGCAACUCGCCUGCAUGAAGUAGGAGUUGCUAGUAACCGUGGGUCAGCACACUACGGUGAAUACGUUCCCGGGUCUUGCACACACCGCCCGU
This 485-nucleotide ribosomal RNA is filed under the name uncultured bacterium. Its description in RNAcentral is "partial 16S ribosomal RNA". It matches the Rfam family "Bacterial small subunit ribosomal RNA", at positions 899 to 1397 of the family's 1533-position model. The record is from RNAcentral.